RNAcentral lists this ribosomal RNA (1505 nucleotides) under metagenome. RNAcentral's name for it is "bacterial SSU rRNA". It matches the Rfam family "Bacterial small subunit ribosomal RNA". The record is from RNAcentral.
AGAGUUUGAUCCUGGCUCAGAUUGAACGCUGGCGGAAUGCUUUACACAUGCAAGUCGAGCGGCAGCGCGGGGCAACCUGGCGGCGAGCGGCGAACGGGUGAGUAAUGCAUCGGAACAUGUCCAAUCGUGGGGGAUAGCCCGGCGAAAGCCGGAUUAAUACCGCAUAAGCCCUAAGGGGGAAAGCCGGGGACCGCAAGGCCUGGCGCGAAUGGGUUGGCCGAUGUCCGAUUAGCUAGUUGGCGGGGUAAAGGCCCACCAAGGCGAUGACCGGUAGCUGGUCUGAGAGGAUGAUCAGCCACACUGGGACUGAGACACGGCCCAGACUCCUACGGGAGGCAGCAGUGGGGAAUUUUGGACAAUGGGGGGAACCCUGAUCCAGCCAUUCCGCGUGAGUGAAGAAGGCCUUCGGGUUGUAAAGCUCUUUUGUCCGGAACGAAACGGUCUGCGUGAAUAGCGCCGACUACUGACGGUACCGGAAGAAUAAGCACCGGCUAACUACGUGCCAGCAGCCGCGGUAAUACGUAGGGUGCGAGCGUUAAUCGGAAUUACUGGGCGUAAAGCGUGCGCAGGCGGUUUUGUAAGCCAGAUGUGAAAUCCCCGGGCUUAACCUGGGAAUGGCAUUUGGGACUGCAAGGCUGGAGUGUGGCAGAGGAGACUGGAAUUCCUGGUGUAGCAGUGAAAUGCGCAGAUAUCAGGAGGAAUACCGGUGGCGAAGGCGGUUCUCUGGGCCUUACCUGACGCUGAGGAGCGAAAGCGUGGGGAGCGAACAGGAUUAGAUACCCUGGUAGUCCACGCUGUAAACGUUGGGCGCUAGGUGUGGGGACCUUCCACGGUUUCCGCGCCGUAGCUAACGCAUUAAGCGCCCCGCCUGGGGAGUACGGCCGCAAGGCUAAAACUCAAAGGAAUUGACGGGGGCCCGCACAAGCGGCGGAGCAUGUUGCUUAAUUCGACGCAACGCGAAGAACCUUACCAAGGCUUGACAUUGCCCGGAAACACUCAGAGAUGGGUGCCUCUUCGGAUCGGGUGACAGGUGGUGCAUGGCUGUCGUCAGCUCGUGUCGUGAGAUGUUGGGUUAAGUCCCGCAACGAGCGCAACCCUUGUUCAAUGUUGCCAGCACGCUCCUUCGGGGGUGGUGGGGACUCAUUGGAGACUGCCGGGGUCAACUCGGAGGAAGGUGGGGAUGACGUCAAGUCAUCAUGCCCCUUAUGUCUUGGGCUGCAAACAUGCUACAAUGGCCGGUACAGAGGGCUGCGAUACCGCAAGGUGGAGCGAAUCCCUAAAAGCCGGUCUCAGUUCGGAUUGGGGUCUGCAACUCGACCCCAUGAAGUCGGAGUCGCUAGUAAUCGCAGACCAGCAACUCUGCGGUGAAUACGUUCCCGGGCCUUGUACACACCGCCCGUCACGUCACGAAAGUCGGCAACACCCGAAGCCCGUGGCCCAACCAGCUUGCUGGGGGGAGCGGUCGAAGGUGGGGCUGGCGAUUGGGACGAAGUCGUAACAAGGUA